ACACAGUGAUCUGACUAGUCCACU
RNAcentral lists this non-coding RNA (24 nucleotides) under Arabidopsis thaliana (thale cress). The record is from RNAcentral. Lineage: Eukaryota; Viridiplantae; Streptophyta; Magnoliopsida; Brassicales; Brassicaceae.